Molecule: ribosomal RNA, 468 nt
Filed under: uncultured bacterium
Lineage: Bacteria
Description: partial 16S ribosomal RNA
Rfam family: Bacterial small subunit ribosomal RNA
Source: RNAcentral
GACGAACGCUGGCGGCGUGCUUAACACAUGCAAGUCGAACGGAAAGGCCCUGCUUUUGUGGGGUGCUCGAGUGGCGAACGGGUGAGUAACACGUGAGUAACCUGCCCUUGACUUUGGGAUAACUUCAGGAAACUGGGGCUAAUACCGGAUAGGAGCUCCUGCUGCAUGGUGGGGGUUGGAAAGUUUCGGCGGUUGGGGAUGGACUCGCGGCUUAUCAGCUUGUUGGUGGGGUAGUGGCUUACCAAGGCUUUGACGGGUAGCCGGCCUGAGAGGGUGACCGGCCACAUUGGGACUGAGAUACGGCCCAGACUCCUACGGGAGGCAGCAGUGGAGAAUAUUGCACAAUGGGCGGAAGCCUGAUGCAGCAACGCCGCGUGCGGGAUGACGGCCUUCGGGUUGUAAACCGCUUUCGCCUGUGACGAAGCGUGAGUGACGGUAAUGGGUAAAGAAGCACAGGCUAACUACGUG